This 378-nucleotide ribosomal RNA is filed under the name uncultured organism. RNAcentral's name for it is "partial 16S ribosomal RNA". It matches the Rfam family "Bacterial small subunit ribosomal RNA", at positions 527 to 897 of the family's 1533-position model. The record is from RNAcentral.
GUAGGGUGCGAGCGUUGUCCGGAAUUACUGGGCGUAAAGGGCUCGUAGGUGGUUUGUCGCGUCGUCUGUGAAAUUCCGGGGGGCUUAACUCCGGGGCGUGCAGGCGAUACGGGCAUAACUUGAGUACUGUAGGGGUAACUGGAAUUCCUGGUGUAGCGGUGAAAUGCGCAGAUAUCAGGAGGAACACCGAUGGCGAAGGCAGGUUACUGGGCAGUUACUGACGCUGAGGAGCGAAAGCAUGGGUAGCGAACAGGAUUAGAUACCCUGGUAGUCCAUGCCGUAAACGGUGGGCGCUAGGUGUGAGGGUCUUUUCACGACUUUCGUGCCGUAGCUAACGCAUUAAGCGCCCCGCCUGGGGAGUACGGCCGCAAAGGCUAA